This 1343-nucleotide ribosomal RNA is filed under the name uncultured bacterium. Its description in RNAcentral is "16S ribosomal RNA". It matches the Rfam family "Bacterial small subunit ribosomal RNA", at positions 28 to 1378 of the family's 1533-position model. The record is from RNAcentral.
GACGAACGCUGGCGGCGUGCUUAACACAUGCAAGUCGAACGGAAAGGCCCUGCUUUUGUGGGGUGCUCGAGUGGCGAACGGGUGAGUAACACGUGAGUAACCUGCCCUUGACUUUGGGAUAACUUCAGGAAACUGGGGCUAAUACCGGAUAGGAGCUCCUGCUGCAUGGUGGGGGUUGGAAAGUUUCGGCGGUUGGGGAUGGACUCGCGGCUUAUCAGCUUGUUGGUGGGGUAGUGGCUUACCAAGGCUUUGACGGGUAGCCGGCCUGAGAGGGUGACCGGCCACAUUGGGACUGAGAUACGGCCCAGACUCCUACGGGAGGCAGCAGUGGGGAAUAUUGCACAAUGGGCGGAAGCCUGAUGCAGCAACGCCGCGUGCGGGAUGACGGCCUUCGGGUUGUAAACCGCUUUCGCCUGUGACGAAGCGUGAGUGACGGUAAUGGGUAAAGAAGCACCGGCUAACUACGUGCCAGCAGCCGCGGUGAUACGUAGGGUGCGAGCGUUGUCCGGAUUUAUUGGGCGUAAAGGGCUCGUAGGUGGUUGAUCGCGUCGGAAGUGUAAUCUUGGGGCUUAACCCUGAGCGUGCUUUCGAUACGGGUUGACUUGAGGAAGGUAGGGGAGAAUGGAAUUCCUGGUGGAGCGGUGGAAUGCGCAGAUAUCAGGAGGAACACCAGUGGCGAAGGCGGUUCUCUGGGCCUUUCCUGACGCUGAGGAGCGAAAGCGUGGGGAGCGAACAGGCUUAGAUACCCUGGUAGUCCACGCUGUAAACGGUGGGUACUAGGUGUGGGGUCCAUUCCACGGGUUCCGUGCCGUAGCUAACGCUUUAAGUACCCCGCCUGGGGAGUACGGCCGCAAGGCUAAAACUCAAAGGAAUUGACGGGGCCCCGCACAAGCGGCGGAGCAUGCGGAUUAAUUCGAUGCAACGCGUAGAACCUUACCUGGGUUUGACAUGGAUCGGGAGUGCUCAGAGAUGGGUGUGCCUCUUUUGGGGUCGGUUCACAGGUGGUGCAUGGCUGACGUCAGCUCGUGUCGUGAGAUGUUGGGUUAAGUCCCGCAACGAGCGCAACCCUUGUUCACUGUUGCCAGCACGUUAUGGUGGGGACUCAGUGGAGACCGCCGGGGUCAACUCGGAGGAAGGUGGGGAUGACGUCAAGUCAUCAUGCCCCUUAUGUCCAGGGCUUCACGCAUGCUACAAUGGCUGGUACAGAGAGUGGCGAGCCUGUGAGGGUGAGCGAAUCUCGGAAAGCCGGUCUCAGUUCGGAUUGGGGUCUGCAACUCGACCUCAUGAAGUCGGAGUCGCUAGUAAUCGCAGAUCAGCAACGCUGCGGUGAAUACGUUCCCGGG